RNAcentral lists this long non-coding RNA (839 nucleotides) under Gossypium raimondii (Peruvian cotton). RNAcentral describes it as "long non-coding RNA (GRAI_LNC011146)". The record is from RNAcentral. Lineage: Eukaryota; Viridiplantae; Streptophyta; Magnoliopsida; Malvales; Malvaceae.
UGGGCCUAAUUAUUGGGCUCACUGGGUCGGGUUGCGGGUCAGCUAGGUCGGGCCGAAUUCGGGUCGGGUCAGCCCGAUUUAAUUUUUUUUUUCUUUUUUUUUCCCUCUUCCUUCUUCUUCUCUCUUUCUUUCUUCUUCUUCUUCUUCCUUCUUCUUCAAAACCGAGCCCGCACACCGUCGCUUCUUUCAUGCCGCCGUUCGAGCUGCCACCGUCGACUCCACCGGACCUUUCUCUCCCCUUUUUUCUUAUUUUUGAAGCUUUUUUUUUUCUCUUUGAAAUUUUUUUUUGGAGAUUCGUGGGUGGGGGGUCCAUUUUUGGAGUUUAAACUCCUUUUUAUAGUUGAUUUUGCUUCUUUUUUGCAGGUAGCAGGUGGGGAAGGCCAUGCCCUAGGCUGGCGGCCGGAAAUCGUGGGGCAGGUGCACGAAAUCCGCCGGAUUAUUGGGGAUUUUCUGACAGAAGGACCAAUUUGUAAAUGCAGCAAAAGUUUUGGGGCCGAAACAAAUUUCGAAUAAGUUUAUGGGUCAAAAUGUAAUUUCAAAAAGUUUAUGGGUCAAAAUGUAAUUUUAGGAAAAUUUAGGGGUUAAAAUGCAAUUUUAAAAAGUUUAGGGGGGUCAAAAUAUAUUUUUUUAUUUUUUGUAUUUUUUAUUUUUAUAUAUAUAUAUAUAUUUUUAAAUAUAUAUAUAAACACGACAAAACCCGGACAAAAUUUAGUGCUUACAGCUGCCCCUCUUUGCUCAUCGCUGUGAAACAGGGAUAGAGCAAAGACUUUAAAGCACUGAAUUUUGUUCGACUAUCCAAAAAUUUUCUUUUUAUUUGAAAAACAGAAAUUGAAAAUAGC